CCAGGGGUGACCCGGCCCGUUUGCGGUGCCGCAGGAGGUGGUGCAGACACGGAGUUUCCACGAGCUGUCGGCCGCGGCGCUGGUGGCCGUGCUGCGCAGCGACCGGCUGGCCAUCGACGAACCGGACCUGAUCCAGGCUGUGCGGGAAUGGGCCCACGUCAGCUCGGCUGUCCUGGAGCGGCCGGUGGCCGAGGUGGCAGCGGGGCCGGUGCGUGAGCUCCGCCUGCCUCUGCUCGCGCCCCGCGAGCUGGCAGCCCUGGAGAGCCACAACCAGAGGGAUCCUCUCAUCCCGGUCGAGUGCAUCGCUGAGGCCUGGAAGUGCCACGCGCUGAGGAAGGGGAGCGGGGCGCCAUCCCGUCUGUGCCAGCGCCGCAGGGGCACCCAGCCCCGGGAGCACCACGGCUACCUCGAGUGAGGGGGUAGCAGCCAGCGGCGGGCGCCGGGGGGCAGGGAGAGUCUGUUCCUUCAUCUCCAGGAGGAGUGACGGGGCAAAGCGCAUUUCCCAGGAUGCCGCUGGCCUUGUGCACCCGUCGUGCCAGAGCCGGGGGCAGGCCUGGCCCAUCCCAGCCAGAGCCGGGCCAGGCUCAGGGCGGCCAUGGUCCUGCGUGGGGGGGCCGGGCUGAGACGGGGGCUGCCCACAACACUCCCCCUUGCCCGAGUUUGCUGCGUGGGCCGGGCAGGCUGCCC
Chrysemys picta bellii (western painted turtle) is the source of this 687-nucleotide non-coding RNA. The record is from RefSeq and is a predicted model, not a curated record. Lineage: Eukaryota; Metazoa; Chordata; Testudines; Emydidae.